CCUACGGGGGGCAGCAGUGGGGAAUAUUGGGCAAUGGGCGCAAGCCUGACCCAGCAAUGCCGCGUGAAGGAAGAAGGCUUUCGGGUUGUAAACUUCUUUGACAGGGGAAGAGCAGAAGACGGUACCCUGAAAACAAGCCACGGCUAACUACGUGCCAGCAGCCGCGGUAAUACGUAGGUGGCAAGCGUUGUCCGGAUUUACUGGGUGUAAAGGGCGUGUAGCCGGGAAGGCAAGUCAGAUGUGAAAUCCGGAGGCUCAACCUCCGAAUUGCAUUUGAAACUGUUUUUCUUGAGUACUGGAGAGGC
Molecule: ribosomal RNA, 305 nt
Filed under: uncultured bacterium
Lineage: Bacteria
Description: bacterial SSU rRNA
Rfam family: Bacterial small subunit ribosomal RNA
Source: RNAcentral